Long non-coding RNA from Halichondria panicea, 368 nucleotides. RefSeq lists it as uncharacterized. Lineage: Eukaryota; Metazoa; Porifera; Demospongiae; Suberitida; Halichondriidae. The transcript is spliced from 2 exons. The record is from RefSeq and is a predicted model, not a curated record.
CCUCUACAUAUUGGAGCCUUUUCUCCUACUAGAGACUAAGAGGUACCCCUAUGGCCAAGUUGUCAGGACCUGAAGAUCCCUGUGAGAAGCAUCCCAGGCAGUCUGAUCUUGUCUCUGUGAGAAGCACUCUUGAUCCUGGAGACAGGAUCCCUAUGAGGAGCACCCCAGGCACUUCUGUCUCCAAGAUCCCUGUGAGAAACACCCCAGGCACUCCUGUCUCUGUGAUAAAGCUGCAACAUGGAAUUGUUUAGUUCAGAGUGUCUCCAACAUGAAGAACAUCAAUGACACUAACAGUCUCAGCUUCUAGCACCCCUUUAUUUGUAUGGUUUGCUCUGUGCCUGCAAGAAUUGCCUGUCACUCAUACUGCA